RNAcentral lists this transfer RNA (71 nucleotides) under Megaloselaginella exaltata. Its description in RNAcentral is "tRNA-Cys". It matches the Rfam family "tRNA". Rfam says of the family: Transfer RNA (tRNA) molecules are approximately 80 nucleotides in length. Their secondary structure includes four short double-helical elements and three loops (D, anti-codon, and T loops). Lineage: Eukaryota; Viridiplantae; Streptophyta; Lycopodiopsida; Selaginellales; Selaginellaceae. The record is from RNAcentral.
GGCGGCAUGGUCAAGCGGUAAGGCAGAUGAUUGCAAAUCUUCCAUCCCUGGUUCGAAUCCAGGUGUCGCCU